CAAGUGCGAUAUUUAAUGCGAUUUGCAUGAAUCUGUGAGUCAUCGAGUCUUUGAACGCAACUUGCGCCCGCAAGGGCAUGUCUGUUUGAGUGCGGGAAUAACUAUGCUGCAAAGCGAAUUGCAAAGCGGUUUGUUUUGCUAAAAUGAUGAAAAACCAAAAGUUGGAAUGCUCUUGGAUUGAAGCUAGAGACGUCAUGUCUUGUUCAAUUCCACCACAUUCCAACUCACACCACACGCCUCAGGUCAGUCAAGAUUACCCGCUGAACUUAA
This 270-nucleotide unclassified non-coding RNA is filed under the name uncultured Rozellomycota. RNAcentral's name for it is "uncultured Cryptomycota sequence contains ITS1". The stretch from base 1 to 95 matches the Rfam family "5.8S ribosomal RNA", at positions 50 to 154 of the family's 154-position model. The record is from RNAcentral. Lineage: Eukaryota; Fungi; Rozellomycota.